UCCCUUGUGGCUCAGCUGGUAAAGAAUCCGCCUGCAACGCGGGAGACCUGGGUUCGAUCCCUGGGUUGGGAA
Bos taurus (domestic cattle) is the source of this 72-nucleotide non-coding RNA. Lineage: Eukaryota; Metazoa; Chordata; Mammalia; Artiodactyla; Bovidae. The record is from Rfam.